This is a non-coding RNA of Paramuricea clavata, 1214 nucleotides long. The record is from the annotation of a GenBank genome assembly. NCBI's taxonomy places the organism in Eukaryota, Metazoa, Cnidaria, Anthozoa, Malacalcyonacea, Plexauridae.
CCGAUACUUUUUCCACCGCUGUACUAAAAUUUGGUUUUGGUACCAAACUGUGAAUGACUUGUAUUCUGUCUGGAUAUUACUAAAUUUCAAACAUUAGGAUAAUGCUAAAUGUCUGUGGUGGUUUUCCAAUAGCUUUGAAUACUAUGAGUGCCUUCUUGAAAAUAACCACUAUUUAAUUUCUAACUUGGUGGUCUAGUUGUUGACUGUUGAGUCUCCUGUUAUUAUUUAUAACAAUGAGAGACAUGUACUGUAUACUUACUGUGAUGGUUCAGAGAUGCCAAACUUUACGGUAGCCAGUAUCCAGAAGUGGGAUACUAGGUUCUCAGUUGGAAUACUAGAACUUUUAAUCCUGGUUUCCCAGUGGGGUACUGCAAAAAAAUUAAUUUCAGAUCCUGCUGGAGCAAGUUUAGUUUUCACGGAAAUAUCCUGUAUUUCAUUUCCCCUUCAAUAUCUCUUAUUAAAUACAGGUAAAACGUUUUCAGCUAGUUAGUUGCUGUGGCGCAUGCGGGCAGCGACGAUACUGAGCUUCCGCCUGAGAUUCGUGGUGAAUUUCCAGAUUAGAGGUUUGCAUCGGACCGGAUAUAAACUUUAUAAAUAAAAGAUAAUGUAAAACGUAAUAAAACGGCGAACAUGAAGAUUUGGCCAUCUCAAAUAAUGGUAAGUUGCGAUGGUAGCGUUGCAGACUGCAGAGGAGAGUGGGCAGCAAGGCUCCCUCAUGCACCACUCCAUGGAAAACCUGCACCCCUUCUUGCAGAUGAGGCUAGACCAGCCGCUCGGCUGGUCGUAAUGUAAGAUUCUUGUCCUGUUCACCAUACCUGUCUUCCUUUUCUAUAAUUUGAAUUUUUAUAAUGUAUUCGUUACCCGAUCAUCCAGUACCACCGAGCUGUUGUUCCGUCGACAAAAAUGCAGAACUACCACUUUCCAAAAAUCUUAUUUUACCAGAGCCACAAGAGUUUGGAACUGUCUUCCAACAAACUUAAGACAGCCAAAUAUGUCGUUAAGUAGGCUACAUUUAAGAGAUUGCUGCGGAACUACUAUUUGGAAGCCCUGCAUAGUUGUACGUGGAAAUCUGUGUGUUUAAUCUGUAACUCUUGUCGUAGUUUGAACGGUGUUGUAAAUUGUUGUUUCUAGUUAUUAUAUGUUAAAAGGGCCCACAGUAAUUGGUUUUAACUGUUGUGGUGUCCCAGCCAUCUGCUGCUUACAAUAUUAUUGCA